Molecule: ribosomal RNA, 151 nt
Filed under: Escherichia coli
Lineage: Bacteria; Pseudomonadati; Pseudomonadota; Gammaproteobacteria; Enterobacterales; Enterobacteriaceae
Description: partial 23S ribosomal RNA
Source: RNAcentral
UCUGGAAAGUCCGACGGUACAGGGUGAUAGUCCCGUACACCAAAAUGCACAGGUUGUGAACUCGAAGAGUAGGGCGGGACACGUGGUAUCCUGUCUGAAUAUGGGGGGACCMUCCUCCAAGGCUAAAUACUCCUGACUGACCGAUAGUGAA